Molecule: long non-coding RNA, 289 nt
Filed under: Theobroma cacao (cacao)
Lineage: Eukaryota; Viridiplantae; Streptophyta; Magnoliopsida; Malvales; Malvaceae
Description: long non-coding RNA (TCAC_LNC000180)
Source: RNAcentral
GUUAGCUAAGGGCUUUAAUAAUUUGUUGGUGGAAAGUGAUUGUUUGCCAGCUAUUUAAGUAAUCACUAAAGUAAUAAUUUGUUUUUGGGUUUUAUUAAAAUUGGGUUAUUUUAGUUUCAAUAUUUAUUUUUAACUUAGUCAUCCCUAUGAUCAAUAAAUGCAAAUGUUAGGGAUGAAAAGAGAAAACGUCCCCAAUAUUCUCAAAUUUGAGCUUGAUUUCCACUAAUAGAGUAAUAGUACUCUCUCUUUUGUUGGGCUCUCUCAAACUUGAAGUCUAUUUUGUUGGAAG